GAUCAUGGCUCAGGAUGAACGCUAGCUACAGGCUUAACACAUGCAAGUCGAGGGGAAACGACAUCGAAAGCUUGCUUUUGGUGGGCGUCGACCGGCGCACGGGUGAGUAACGCGUAUCCAACCUGCCCACCACUUGGGGAUAACCUUGCGAAAGUAAGACUAAUACCCAAUGACGUCUCUAGAAGACAUCUGAAAGAGAUUAAAGAUUUAUCGGUGAUGGAUGGGGAUGCGUCUGAUUAGCUUGUUGGCGGGGUAACGGCCCACCAAGGCGACGAUCAGUAGGGGUUCUGAGAGGAAGGUCCCCAACAUUGGAACUGAGACACGGUCCAAACUCCUACGGGAGGCAGCAGUGAGGAAUAUUGGUCAAUGGGCGAGAGCCUGAACCAGCCAAGUAGCGUGCAGGAAGACGGCCCUAUGGGUUGUAAACUGCUUUUAUAAGGGAAUAAAGUUAGUCUCGUGAGACUUUUUGCAUGUACCUUAUGAAUAAGGACCGGCUAAUUCCGUG
This 505-nucleotide ribosomal RNA is filed under the name uncultured bacterium. RNAcentral's name for it is "bacterial SSU rRNA". It matches the Rfam family "Bacterial small subunit ribosomal RNA", at positions 15 to 507 of the family's 1533-position model. The record is from RNAcentral.